RNAcentral lists this unclassified non-coding RNA (255 nucleotides) under uncultured fungus. RNAcentral describes it as "partial contains 18S rRNA, ITS1, 5.8S rRNA, ITS2 and 28S rRNA". Lineage: Eukaryota; Fungi. The record is from RNAcentral.
AAGGAUCAUUACAGUAUUUCAGAGGGGUUAGAUGCUGGCUUCGGCACGUGCGCACCCCUCGAUUACAUUUCCACUUACACCUGUGAACACAGCUGAAUGCCUCCCAUUUAGGAGUCGUCUCGAGAGGCUUCGGCCGCUCGGGACUGGGGCGUUCACUCUUACCCUACAUACUUUAACGCCUGUUUAAAUGCAUGUCUAAUGGCUCUACGGAGCCAAAACAUAAUACAACUUUCAACAACGGAUCUCUUGGCUUUC